This 554-nucleotide long non-coding RNA is filed under the name Citrus sinensis (sweet orange). RNAcentral's name for it is "long non-coding RNA (CSIN_LNC001247)". Lineage: Eukaryota; Viridiplantae; Streptophyta; Magnoliopsida; Sapindales; Rutaceae. The record is from RNAcentral.
UUCACGUGCUAUUGAUGGCUCACGGACCGCGUGUUAGCCUACUAAUGAAACAUGUUUAUUACGUGACUUUUUGCGUGUCUUGCUUUUAAGCCACACGUACCUAAAAAUUUGAGCCCUACCCGGCCACGUGUGUGCCAUGCUGUGCAAUUUACCUUGCCGAAACGUGCUAAUACCGUGCCGUACUGUAUGGACAUGUACCGCUCGGCCCGUUGAGCACCUUUAUUGAUAGCACAACGUUAUUUUUCUUAUUAUUUAUAACAAUUCAAUCUAAAAAAGACCAAAAAAAAAGAAAAAAGCUUACUCAAUAUAAGGAAAUUUUGCAACUGCUAUCAAAUUUUACACCUGCUGCCACUCGAGAAAUUUUAGUGGUAGCAGCCAUGGACAUUCUUGGUUCGUCUCAAACAAGUACUGUCGCAGCAAUUUUAAUCACUCUUUUAAUCAUUCUAUACACCUCGUUGUCAGUUUCAAGAAAUUUGCUUAGAAAAUACACAAGCAAGAAGAAGAGGGGAGCACCAGAAGCUGGGGGAGCAUGGCCUGUGAUUGGCCAUCUACAC